Molecule: long non-coding RNA, 271 nt
Organism: Mus musculus (house mouse)
Lineage: Eukaryota; Metazoa; Chordata; Mammalia; Rodentia; Muridae
Product: predicted gene, 54136
Exons: 3
Source: RefSeq, a predicted model, not a curated record
CUAAUGUAAAAGAAACUGUGAUCUUGGAGACAGAAGUCUGUUCGUGACUAGCAGUUCUAAUGAAAGGAUCAACCUUAAUGAACUAAUCUCACCAAAGAAAGGAGGGGCAGGAUUUCUUAUUCUGUCCAGUGAGCCAGAGGAGAGGUGACACCACGGUCCUUGCUGUUGGCAUCUGGAGUUGGAAGCAGUGCUUCUGUGGGACUAAACCUUCAACCUGAGAAUCUGAUGCUGUCUCUAGGACAAAAAUCUAUGGGAGGCUAGAUUUUCUUCA